This 609-nucleotide ribosomal RNA is filed under the name uncultured bacterium. RNAcentral describes it as "bacterial SSU rRNA". It matches the Rfam family "Bacterial small subunit ribosomal RNA", at positions 109 to 740 of the family's 1533-position model. The record is from RNAcentral.
AGUAAUGCAUAGAUAAUGUGCCCCUUAGUUCGGGAUAGCCACUGGAAACGGUGAUUAAUACCGGAUACUCCUUCUUGUUAUAAGACAAGUCGGGAAAGUUUUUCGCUAAGGGAUCAGUCUAUGUUCCAUCAGCUUGUUGGUGAGGUAAUGGCUCACCAAGGCUAUGACGGAUAUCUGGUUUGAGAGGAUGAUCAGACGCACUGGAACUGAGACACGGUCCAGACUCCUACGGGAGGCAGCAGUGAGGAAUAUUGCACAAUGGAGGAAACUCUGAUGCAGCAACGCCGCGUGGAGGAUGACGCAUUUCGGUGUGUAAACUCCUUUUAUUAGGGAAGAUAAUGACGGUACCUAAUGAAUAAGCACCGGCUAACUCCGUGCCAGCAGCCGCGGUAAUACGGAGGGUGCAAGCGUUACUCGGAAUCACUGGGCGUAAAGGGUGCGUAGGCUGGCUUUAAGUCAGAUGUGAAAUCCAAUGGCUCAACCAUUGAACUGCAUUUGAAACUGAAAGCCUAGAGUUCAGAAGGGGCAGAUGGAAUUAGUGGUGUAGGGGUAAAAUCCGUAGAUAUCACUAGGAAUAUCAAAGGCGAAGGCGAUCUGCUGGGAUGAUAC